AGCGAACGCUGGCGGCAGGCCUAACACAUGCAAGUCGAACGGACCCUUCGGGGUUAGUGGCGGACGGGUGAGUAACACGUGGGAACGUGCCUUUCGGUUCGGAAUAGCUCCUGGAAACGGGUGGUAAUGCCGAACGUGCCUUCGGGGGAAAGAUUUAUCGCCUUUAGAGCGGCCCGCGUCUGAUUAGCUAGUUGGUGCGGUAAGGGCUCACCAAGGCGACGAUCAGUAGCUGGUCUGAGAGGAUGACCAGCCACACUGGGACUGAGACACGGCCCAGACUCCUACGGGAGGCAGCAGUGGGUAAUCUUGCGCAAUGUGCGAAAGCCUGACGCAGCCAUGCCGCGUGAAUGAUGAAGGUCUUAGGAUUGUAAAAUUCUUUCACCGGGGACGAUAAUGACGGUACCCGGAGAAGAAGCCCCGGCUAACUUCGUGCCAGCAGCCGCCGUAA
RNAcentral lists this ribosomal RNA (448 nucleotides) under uncultured bacterium. RNAcentral describes it as "partial 16S ribosomal RNA". It matches the Rfam family "Bacterial small subunit ribosomal RNA", at positions 29 to 523 of the family's 1533-position model. The record is from RNAcentral.